CCUUUAAUGUUUGAUGUUCUAACGUGGACCCGUUACCCGGGUUGCGGACAGUGUCUGGUGGGUAGUUUGACUGGGGCGGUCUCCUCCUAAAGAGUAACGGAGGAGCACGAAGGUUGGCUAAUCCUGGUCGGACAUCAGGAGGUUAGUGCAAUGGCAUAAGCCAGCUUGACUGCGAGCGUGACGGCGCGAGCAGGUGCGAAAGCAGGUCAUAGUGAUCCGGUGGUUCUGAAUGGAAGGGCCAUCGCUCAACGGAUAAAAGGUACUCCGGGGAUAACAGGCUGAUACCGCCCAAGAGUUCAUAUCGACGGCGGUGUUUGGCACCUCGAUGUCGGCUCAUCACAUCCUGGGGCUGAAGUAGGUCCCAAGGGUAUGGCUGUUCGCCAUUUAAAGUGGUACGCGAGCUGGGUUUAGAACGUCGUGAGACAGUUCGGUCCCUAUCUGCCGUGGGCGCUGGAGAACUGAGGGGGGCUGCUCCUAGUACGAGAGGACCGGAGUGGACGCAUCACUGGUGUUCGGGUUGUCAUGCCAAUGGCACUGCCCGGUAGCUAAAUGCGGAAGAGAUAAGUGCUGAAAGCAUCUAAGCACGAAACUUGCCCCGA
Molecule: ribosomal RNA, 599 nt
Filed under: Salmonella enterica subsp. enterica serovar Muenchen
Lineage: Bacteria; Pseudomonadati; Pseudomonadota; Gammaproteobacteria; Enterobacterales; Enterobacteriaceae
Also listed under: 1 other name
Description: partial 23S ribosomal RNA
Rfam family: Bacterial large subunit ribosomal RNA
Source: RNAcentral